CCCUGGUGUCCCUCCCUCCUCCCCCGAGGGUGCCAGUCCUAUUGGAUCGGGCCCCACCCUCAGGAUCUCAGUUAACUUUCACUGCCCUUUACGAUCCGAACUCCAAAUACAGUUCUGAGUUGGGGUGGGGGACAGCUCCUAACAGCGAGUGACAGAACUGCGGUUCCUUCGGCGGGAGGGGACAGAUGACCAAGGAAGGUGAAUGACCGCAUAACUGGGGUCUGAGUUCCAGCCGGAGAGAAACUGGAGAUGGGACUGAAGGAGGGGGCCAGCUGGCCUGUGUCCCAGGGUGUGGCCAAGACCCCUGCAGCCGGUGACACUGAAGCCCCAGCUUCCACACUCGUUACGGGGGAGGGGAGCAGGCCCUGGAGCUCUGGGGUGAGGGCAAGGGAAAGUCCAGAUGCCGAUGUUUCUCUGCCAGCCCACAGCAACAGAAAAUGGAUUAAGACAACACCCAAGCCUGGUGCUUCUAUCUCCACCACCAGUGAGCUCUAGCUGAUCCUUACCCCGCAUGGACAUGUGUGCACCUGUGUCUACGCAUCUGCGAGAGCUGAGCAGAAAGACAGAGACAGAGAGGUGAAAGAUGUGACAGCAACCAAAGUGGGAAGAAAGUGACGUGAGGCUCAUGAGUGAGGAAAGAAGGCAAGGGGUGUGCGGAGAAUGUGCUUUGGAGGCUGAGCCACGCAGGGGUCCAGAGCCCUGCGUGGUGAUGGGGAUCAGGACUGAGGCAGCUUUGAGGUGCUACCUUCCAGGCUGACUCUGCUGUGUGGUGUGCUGGCCUGUGGUCACCUGGUGUGGAAGAAGUCAAGGGCAGAGUUUCUCAGAGCGGCCGGGCUGGGCCUGAGCACUUCAAGCCCCUCAGAGUCGACUCCCCCAGGACUCAGCCUGGGGCGCUGGCCCAGGACACUGCACUGAUACUGUUCUUGCUACGCCCUGGGAAAGGUGGGGGACACUGCUGCUGGCUAACACUGCCCAGAGCACAGAAAAGGGCUCCAGGCUCCCUUUAAAAAAGGCUGUGCACUCUACACCUCUUCACGAAUAAACACAUUCACAAAUGCACAAGCCAGGAAAGGCUGUGAGAAGCCCUAGUGUGGGAAAUGAGGUGGGAGGAUUUAUACUUUUGUUUAGGACUUCCAAUAGCAGACUACACAGCUGUUAAUUUGGGUCAUUAGAUCCAAUUAAACAAAACCGAGAUCAGGAGCUGUUAAAAUCCCCAGACCCGACGCAGGCUCUUUCUCUGUGGGAGGUGUUAAUUCUGCCAGGGGACCUUUCCUGUCCAGAGAGUCUUGGGAUUUGAUGGUGGCUUCCAAGCCAAGCAAGAGGUCCCACACCGGUCAACCAGCAUGUCUUUGCUGGCCUAGUCUCCUGCUCAAUGAGCCAGCGCCAGUUCAGCACUAGAAAUACACCUGCAACGUGUAAGUUAGAGCUUGGACAAUCACAGGCUUCAUUCUUAAGAUUUAGAGCCACCACUCACAGGACUAAAAAUUUAGAAUUGGACACUGUGGAAAACUGUGAGCCUACUGUAUGUGAGUGUGUGUGAGUUAGGAACAGACUGCAGAUCUCUGAUCAGGCAUCAGUUUCCCCCUCUGUAAAAUAAGAGUCAGGUGCUGUGUUAACCUCAAAAUCCAUGUAGUAAAGGUCAUAUUUGUAUGGUACUUGGGAGGGUGUCUGUGUUUCAGAUGUAGGAUCUUUUAAAAGGUAGCAAAGGUUAAAUGGGGUCUUAGAGUGGGCCCUAAUCCAAAGUGACUAUUGUUCUUAGAAAAAAAAAAAAGGGAUUCAGACACAUCUAACCCAGAGGAAUGACAGAAUGACCCUAUGAAGUCACAAGAGAAGGCAGAGUUCUCUGCCAGCCAAGGGGAGAAAUUUCAGAAGAAACCAAAUCCGCAGACGCCUACAUCUUGACUUCUGGCCUCAAGAACUGAGAACAAAAAGUGUCUAUGGUCUAAGCCACCAGGCUGUGUUGUUUAAUCCUGGCAGCCUAGAAAUGGACACAGAUGGCCAAACCACAGGACAAGCCCUGGGCGCCUCACCAGUGCACAGUUCCCCUGCUUUCUUCCUAAUAGAAGGAACUUUUCCAACAUCUCCCUCAUGGGACACACAGAUAGGGGCUCGCACGUGUGUCCCUCACUGGGCCUGUGACCGACUCCAGACCAGGACACGUGAGGAGGACACGCUGGGGAGCGUCUAAAAAAGUCUCCUCUGUUCUCAGGGAGGCGGCGAGCACAGUCUGUGCCUGGGUAGGACACCUGAAAUAUCUACAGCUAUUUUGUGACCCUACGGAGCUUCCCAAAAGCCAAGACAACGUCCCGAGGACCGCAGAGGAGAGAGGAGCGAUGACACAUCUCAUGGCUAUUUUAAGCGAUGGUGGAUUAAAAUCUUUCUUUCUAUUUAAAUCAGUCUCCAAGCCGGGCGUGGUGGCACACUCCUGUAAUCCCAGCACUUGGGAGCUGAGGCAGAAGGAUCAUUGUGAAUUCGAGACCAGCCUCGGCUACAUAGUGAAUUCCAGGUCAGCCUCAACUACAUAGUUAAGACUCUGUCUCAAAAAAAAAAAAAAAAAAAAAAAAAAAAAAAAAACAAAUAAAUCGGUCUCAGGGACUU
Molecule: long non-coding RNA, 2598 nt
Organism: Fukomys damarensis (Damara mole-rat)
Lineage: Eukaryota; Metazoa; Chordata; Mammalia; Rodentia; Bathyergidae
Source: Ensembl